GAUGAACGCUAGCGGCGUGCCUAAUACAUGCAAGUCGAGCGAACAGACGAGGAGCUUGCUCCUCUGACGUUAGCGGCGGACGGGUGAGUAACACGUGGAUAACCUACCUAUAAGACUGGGAUAACUUCGGGAAACCGGAGCUAAUACCGGAUAAUAUAUUGAACCGCAUGGUUCAAUAGUGAAAGACGGUUUUGCUGUCACUUAUAGAUGGAUCCGCGCCGCAUUAGCUAGUUGGUAAGGUAACGGCUUACCAAGGCAACGAUGCGUAGCCGACCUGAGAGGGUGAUCGGCCACACGGGAACUGAGACACGGUCCAGACUCCUACGGGAGGCAGCAGUAGGGAAUCUUCCGCAAUGGGCGAAAGCUUGACGGAGCAACGCCGCGUGAGUGAUGAAGGUCUUCGGAUCGUAAAACUCUGUUAUUAGGGAAGAACAAAUGUGUAAGUAACUAUGCACGUCUUGACGGUACCUAAUCAGAAAGCCACGGCUAACUACGUG
This 497-nucleotide ribosomal RNA is filed under the name uncultured bacterium. RNAcentral describes it as "partial 16S ribosomal RNA". It matches the Rfam family "Bacterial small subunit ribosomal RNA", at positions 28 to 507 of the family's 1533-position model. The record is from RNAcentral.